RNAcentral lists this ribosomal RNA (404 nucleotides) under Verrucomicrobiota bacterium. RNAcentral's name for it is "Verrucomicrobia bacterium partial 16S ribosomal RNA". It matches the Rfam family "Bacterial small subunit ribosomal RNA", at positions 355 to 776 of the family's 1533-position model. Lineage: Bacteria; Pseudomonadati; Verrucomicrobiota. The record is from RNAcentral.
UGGGGAAUAUUGCACAAUGGGGGAAACCCUGAUGCAGCGACGCCGCGUGAGCGAUGAAUGCUUUCGAGUCGUAAAGCUCUGUCCUAUGGGAAGAUAAUGACGGUACCAUAGAAGAAAGCCCCGGCUAAUUACGUGCCAGCAGCCGCGGUAAUACGUAAGGGGCGAGCGUUGUCCGGAAUUAUUGGGCGUAAAGAGUGCGUAGGCGGCAAAUUAAGUCAGAUGUGAAAACUAAGGGCUCAACCCAUAGAUUGCAUCUGAAACUGAUAUGCUUGAGUCAAGGAGAGGAAAGUGGAAUUCCUAGUGUAGCGGUGGAAUGCGUAGAUAGUAGGAGGAAUACCGGUGGCGAAGGCGACUUUCUGGACUUGAACUGACGCUGAGGCACGAAAGCGUGGGGAGCAAACAGG